This 1508-nucleotide long non-coding RNA is filed under the name Capra hircus (goat). RNAcentral's name for it is "lncRNA (ENSCHIG00010025141.1)". Lineage: Eukaryota; Metazoa; Chordata; Mammalia; Artiodactyla; Bovidae. The record is from RNAcentral.
CAGGUUAGAACAAGGCUCAGUGAAGAGCAGCCAGUGGUUAAGCAGUAUGGACAUCAUUACUGUAAAUGAUAUAAAUCACAUCACACUUAUUACAUAAAGACGCAUGAUUGUUAGCCUAACAAAUUCAGUCUAGUUGCACUCCUUUUCGCUGCAGCAACUUUAAGCUGGCACAUUGUGUUGUUUCUGCUCAUUCCCUUUACCUAGUUCAUACCCACUCGUCUUUAUUAACAAGACCUCUGCUCAUCUAUUGUCUUCUCAGGAGGCCUUCCUUGGUGUCACAGAACAAGCAGGUUUCCCGGUGAAACUCUCUUAGGCCCUUAGGUAACUUGUCCUCAAAGCACUGACAUUCAAUUUUAAUUUCCUGUGAGUUUGCAUAAUUAUUAGUUCUGUUGAGUGAGUGAUUAUCAGAACUCCACCACUGUAAUAUAAUCUGUAAACAAAUAUCGUGUCAUGUUCAGUUUUGUUCACUCUCCCAUCUCUGGAACUCAGCACAAUAUCUGCACAGAGCAGGUGUUCUUUAAUUAUUUGUUAGAUGAAUGAGCAAACACCUGAAUAAAUGAAUGAAUGAAUCUUCAUUUAGUGAAGAAACUGAGGUAGAAAUAUGUCAUACCCAGAUUUAUUGGUAAAGAUCGGAAUAUAUUUUAGAAUAUUGGAUUUCUGCAGCUACUACUGCCCAUCACCUUUCAAAUGACUCUGCAGAAAGAGAUGCCUUCAAAUCAGGUGACACUUGAAUAGGUGACCAUCACUCCAGAACAAAUGUUGAUAACACAAAUGCUGAGAUCCUAUGCCACAAGAGGCUAGUCACUAACUUCUCUGAGCCUCAAUGCAGUAUCCUCAUUUAUAAUGCACCCCUCCCCCACCGCACUGGCACUGAGAAUCGAAAAUAAGAGAAUUCAUUUGACAACACCCUAUUGACUCUAUGCAUGUAUGUUUUGCUUAAAGUUAAGAAGUUUGAAAAUUGCCUCUCAAUGGGAUCUUUGAAAAGACUCUGCUUUGUGAAGAAGAAGGCAUUUCGAGGAUAUUAGACAAAGACUCACCAUUUAGUUAAACAAGCAUUAUUUCCAGGCAAUGGCAGAGAAAUUAGAUCUCCCACAGUUUCCAUCAGUCUCAGUCCUAAGACCUUUAAACAAUCAUACAAUUUAACUAAAAAAUUGGCUACUCUCCUUCUGUUGGGAUGACUAUUUCCAAAGCCCAACCUGAGUAGAAAUUUAGAAGCCCUCAUUAUUCAAAGGUAAUGUGAUAUUUGUCAAAAGAGAAACUUCUGAGUUGAUUUCCACAAUGCUUUCAAAGCAGAUUAGCAUCUGUUGGGAGGGACUGGCCCAAAGUGAGCAUUGCUUGAUGCAGUAAUUGACAGCUAAUUUUAAACCUUGAAGUAGUAUUUUCUCACUGGAACCAAGGAAAGUGCUUUCAAGAAGGAUGAAAAUCUACUGCAUGUCAGACUCAAAAAUAUUUUCUGAACUAAGUAAAAACUGAGAUCCUACUUUGCAAAUACAUUGCUAGAAAAUUCA